UACGGAGGAUCCGAGCGUUAUCCGGAUUUAUUGGGUUUAAAGGGUGCGUAGGUGGAUUGGUAAGUCAGUGGUGAAAGUUUGCAGCUUAACUGUAACAGUGCCGUUGAUACUGGGGAGCUAGGAUUUGGUUGCUGUGGGUGGAAUGUGCGGUGUAGCGGUGAAAUGCUUAGAGAUCACACAGAAUAUCGAUUGCGAAGGCAGCUCACAAAGCCAAGAUUGACGCUGAGGCACGAAAGUGUGGGGAUCAAACAGGAUUAGA
RNAcentral lists this ribosomal RNA (259 nucleotides) under uncultured prokaryote. Its description in RNAcentral is "partial 16S ribosomal RNA". It matches the Rfam family "Bacterial small subunit ribosomal RNA", at positions 524 to 782 of the family's 1533-position model. The record is from RNAcentral.